RNAcentral lists this ribosomal RNA (497 nucleotides) under uncultured bacterium. RNAcentral's name for it is "partial 16S ribosomal RNA". It matches the Rfam family "Bacterial small subunit ribosomal RNA", at positions 28 to 507 of the family's 1533-position model. The record is from RNAcentral.
GAUGAACGCUGGCGGCGUGCCUAAUACAUGCAAGUCGAGCGAACGGACGAGACGCUUGCUUGUCUGAUGUUAGCGGCGGAUGGGUGAGUCACACGUGGCUAACCCACCUAUAAGACUCGGCCAACUUCGGGACACCGUAGUUACUACCGGAUACACUUUUGAACCGCAUGGUUCAUAAGUGAAACUCCGUCUUCCUGUUAGUUAUAGAUGGACCCGCGCUGCAUUAGCUAGUUGGUAAGGUAACGGCUUACCAAGGCAACGAUGCAUAGCCGACCUGAGAGGAUGAUCGGCCACACUGGAACUGAGACACGGUCCAGACUCCUACGGGAGGCAGCAGUAGGGAAUCUUCCGCAAUGGGCGAAAGCCUGACGGAGCAACGCCGCGUGGGUGAUGAAGGCCUUCGGAUCGUAAAACUCUGUUAGUAGGGAAGAACAUAUGUGGAAGUAACGGUGCACGUCUUGACGGUACCUAAACAGAAAGCCACGGCUAACUACGUG